GUAGCGAAGUAGCUGAUUUCACACUGUCAAGAAAAGUCUCUAUCGAGGUUAAAGGUACCCGUACCGCAAACCGACACAGGUGGGUGAGGAGAGUAUCCUAAGGCCAGCGAGAGAACUGUUGUUAAGGAACUCGGCAAAAUGACCCCGUAACUUAGGGAUAAGGGGUGCCACCAUCAGGUGGCCGCAGAGAAUAGGCCCAAGCGACUGUUUACCAAAAACAUAGGUUUCUGCUAAGUCGCAAGACGAUGUAUAGGAGCUGACGCCUGCCCGGUGCUGGAA
This 279-nucleotide ribosomal RNA is filed under the name Clostridioides difficile. Its description in RNAcentral is "partial 23S ribosomal RNA". It matches the Rfam family "Bacterial large subunit ribosomal RNA", at positions 1582 to 1874 of the family's 2925-position model. Lineage: Bacteria; Bacillati; Bacillota; Clostridia; Peptostreptococcales; Peptostreptococcaceae. The record is from RNAcentral.